CAGCCGCCACGGGAAUACAGAGGGUGCGAGCGUUAAUCGGAUUUACUGGGCGUAAAGCGUGCGUAGGCGGCUUCUUAAGUCGGAUGUGAAAUCCCUGAGCUUAACUUAGGAAUUGCAUUCGAUACUGGGAAGCUAGAGUAUGGGAGAGGAUGGUAGAAUUCCAGGUGUAGCGGUGAAAUGCGUAGAGAUCUGGAGGAAUACCGAUGGCGAAGGCAGCCAUCUGGCCUAAUACUGACGCUGAGGUACGAAAGCAUGGGGAGCAAACAGGAUUAGAUACCCCGGUAGUCCCUGUCUUUUUAUA
This 301-nucleotide ribosomal RNA is filed under the name uncultured bacterium. RNAcentral describes it as "partial 16S ribosomal RNA". It matches the Rfam family "Bacterial small subunit ribosomal RNA", at positions 509 to 809 of the family's 1533-position model. The record is from RNAcentral.